UUGGAGGGCAAGUCUGGUGCCAGCAGCCGCAGUAAUUCCAGCUCCAAUAGCGUAUAUUAAAGUUGUUGCAGUUAAAAAGCUCGUAGUUGAAUUUCGGGAUUGACACAUCGGUCGUGCCUUAAGGGGUAUGAACUGGUGUAGUCAAUUUCUCACCUUCUGGAGAACCGCGAUGCCCUUAAUUGGGUGUCGCGGGGAACCAGGACCUUUACUUUGAAAAAAUUAGAGUGUUUAAAGCAGGCAUUUUGCUUGAAUACAUUAGCAUGGAAUAAUAAAAUAGGACGGCAUGAUUCUAUUUUGUUGGUUUCUAGGAUCACCGUAAUGAUUAAUAGGGAUAGUUGGGGGCAUUAGUAUUCAAUUGUCAGAGGUGAAAUUCUUGGAUUUAUUGAAGACUAACUACUGCGAAAGCAUUUGCCAAGGAUGUUUUCAUUAAUCAAGAACGAAAGUUAGGGGAUCGAAGACGAUCAGAUACCGUCGUAGUCUAACCAUAAACUAUGCCGACUAGGAAUCAGACGAUGUUAAUUUUUUAAUGACUCGUUUGGCACCUUACGGGAAACCAAAGUGUUUGGGUUC
This 570-nucleotide ribosomal RNA is filed under the name uncultured Glomeromycotina. RNAcentral's name for it is "SSU rRNA". It matches the Rfam family "Eukaryotic small subunit ribosomal RNA", at positions 548 to 1114 of the family's 1831-position model. The record is from RNAcentral. Lineage: Eukaryota; Fungi; Glomeromycota.